UGCAUGUUUGACGAGUGCUUCGCCCUUCACAGGCGCACGGGUGCGUAACGCGUGGGAAUCUGCCCCUUGGUUCGGGAUAACAGUUGGAAACGACUGCUAAUACCGGAUGAUGACGUAAGUCCAAAGAUUUAUCGCCAUGGGAUGAGCCCGCGUCUGAUUAGCUAGUUGGUGGGGUAACGGCCUACCAAGGCGACGAUCAGUAGCUGGUCUGAGAGGAUGAUCAGCCACACUGGGACUGAGACACGGCCCAGACUCCUACGGGAGGCAGCAGUGGGGAAUAUUGGACAAUGGGCGCAAGCCUGAUCCAGCCAUGCCGCGUGAGUGAUGAAGGCCUUAGGGUUGUAAAGCUCUUUUGUCCGGGACGAUAAUGACGGUACCGGAAGAAUAAGCCCCGGCUAACUUCGUGCCAGCAGCCGCGGUAAU
RNAcentral lists this ribosomal RNA (423 nucleotides) under uncultured bacterium. RNAcentral's name for it is "bacterial SSU rRNA". It matches the Rfam family "Bacterial small subunit ribosomal RNA", at positions 56 to 524 of the family's 1533-position model. The record is from RNAcentral.